GCGCGCGCCCGGCCCCGCCCACCCCAAACUUCUCCAGGGGCGCGCGGUCGAACCCUCUCGCCGCCCGCGUCUCGCGCGCACGCCCCCCAGCUGGUCGCCCUCGCUCCCGCCACCGCGGCCAAGGCCUGAGAGGGGACGGCGCGCAGGCGGGAUCGCGAGGCAGGGGGCCUGCGCGGCGGCCGGCGGGGAUCGCCCUGGGAGGGAGGGCCGGCCCGCGCCGCGUGCAGGCGGAUGUGAGGAGCAUCUUAAUUGGCGGGCGGGAGCGGGGCAGGUGUCACUACUGCAGCGCGCGAGGGAGCCGGCGCGCGGAGCAGAGCCGCAGCGGCCGGGCCGCCGGGAAGUGCGGAGGGGGGCCUGGACUCUGGGACCGCGGCCGUCCCGCCCGCCGCCCUCUCCACGAGCUCAGGCCCACCGCUCCCGAACGUCCCCGCUGCCCGCCACCACCGCCAUGAGAAAUAUCUUCAAGAGGAACCAGGAGCCCAUUGUGGCUCCUGCCACCACCACCAUGCCCGCGGGGCCCGCAGACAACUCCACGGCGAGCGGGGGUGCCCGGGAGGGCCCGGAGGAUGUCUUUACCAAGAUGAGGGACAGAUUCUUCAAUGAGAUGAACAAGAUCCCCCUACCCCCCUGGGCUCUGAUCGCCAUCGCUGUGGUCCUGGGCCUCCUGCUCCUUACGUGCUGCUUCUGCAUCUGCAAGAAGUGCUGCUGUAAGAAGAAGAAGAACAAGAAAGAGAAGGGCAAAGGCGCGAAGAACGCCAUGAACAUGAAGGACAUGAAGGGAGGCCAGGACGAUGACGAUGCAGAGACGGGCCUGACGGAGGGAGAAGGCGAGGGGGAGGAGGAGAAGGAGCCAGAGAACCUGGGGAAGCUGCAGUUCUCCCUGGACUACGAUUUCCAGGCCAACCAGCUCACCGUCGGCGUCCUACAGGCCGCAGAGCUGCCUGCCCUGGACAUGGGAGGCACCUCGGACCCUUACGUCAAAGUCUUCCUCCUUCCGGACAAGAAGAAGAAAUAUGAGACCAAGGUCCAUCGGAAGACGCUGAACCCCGCCUUCAAUGAGACCUUCACCUUCAAGGUGCCCUACCAGGAGCUGGGGGGCAAGACCCUGGUGAUGGCCAUCUACGACUUCGACCGCUUCUCCAAACAUGACAUCAUCGGGGAGGUGAAGGUGCCCAUGAACACCGUGGACCUCGGGCAGCCCAUCGAGGAGUGGCGGGACCUGCAGGGGGGAGAGAAGGAGGAGCCCGAGAAGCUGGGUGACAUUUGCACCUCCCUGCGCUAUGUGCCUACCGCCGGAAAGCUCACUGUCUGCAUCCUGGAGGCCAAGAACCUGAAGAAGAUGGACGUGGGGGGCCUUUCAGGUGCGAGCAGAGCAGCUGGCCACCAUCGGGGGGCGCCCGCGGGCCGCUCUCUGUGGAGCCCUGGGAUUCACAGAGGAACACAGGCUGGGGCCAGCAGCUUCGGGUCCCCAGGGCAGGGCUGGCUGGAGGUGUGGGCCUGGGAGGCAGGAUCCCAGACAGGCGUCUACUUCUCCUGGGGGCUGCGGGCCGAUGGGGAACUCAGCCCAAAGUGGUCUCUCAUCCAUCUGGGACCUUCUCAGGGAGGCUCUGCCCCAGGGGGGCUCGAGGUAAGGACGGACUUUGGGGGAGGGGGGAGCUGGGCCGCAGCACUGGGCUCUCAUGGGUCAGGAGAGUGUGCCACAUCCUGGGACCUGUCCUGCGGCCCCAGGCAGGAGCUUUCUCAUCUACACAGUCAGCAGGGUUGAUGGGACGGGGCACGGAACUCGGGGCUGCCAGAGUGGGUCCUGGAGGCACCGCCUGGGCCUGGACGUGGGCGCGGCUCAGGGCCUCUCCGGGUGGCUUCCCCGCAGACCCCUACGUGAAGAUCCACCUGAUGCAGAACGGCAAGAGGCUCAAGAAGAAGAAGACCACGGUGAAGAAGAAGACCCUGAACCCCUAUUUCAAUGAGUCCUUCAGCUUCGAGAUCCCCUUCGAGCAGAUCCAGAAGGUGCAGGUGGUGGUCACGGUGCUGGACUACGACAAGCUGGGCAAGAAUGAGGCCAUCGGCAAGAUCUUCGUGGGCAGCAACGCCACGGGCACGGAGCUGCGGCACUGGUCCGACAUGCUGGCCAACCCCCGCAGGCCCAUAGCGCAGUGGCACUCGCUCAAGCCCGAGGAGGAGGUGGAUGCGCUGCUGGGCAAGAACAAGUAGGGCCGCGGCCGCAGCCGCCUGCCGCGGACGUGGACGAGACCCAGAGCACUGGUACCUCAGUCGUCAGCCCUGGAGGUUUCCUUUUCCAUCCGUCUGUGGUCCUGCCCCCGUCCUUCUUUCUGUCCCUCUGUUUAAAGACCACCGUCCUCUGGCUGUGAGAUGGGUCCCCUUGGAGGAGAGCAAGGAGCUGGUUCUGGUGGCUGCCCGGGAGCUGUGCUUGCUGCAUGCCCAUCGCCCUCGUCCUCCACAGCUCCACCUGCCCGCCAGGAGGCUCUUUGGCAGAAGUUGUGGCAUUUCCGUGGUUUGAGUCUUCUGGACCCACAAGGUGGCAGCACUUCCUGUGUCCUGUGCGUGCAGCUCCCCGUGCUCCUGGAAGGGGCCAUGGACCAUGGGCUCGUGGGAGCAAAAGGCCCUUGGGGACCUGCCUGGAUAGCAGCCUGGUCACCAGGAGCCUCGGUCAGGUGCAGGAGCGUGGCUCCCUGGGAGGGACCGGGAGGCAGGCGGUCCAGAGCUAGGACCAGACCCUGAAGUUGUCCCCCCUUGUCACCACGGCCUCCUGCUGGUGUGGUUCCCAGGACAUCCCGGCCAGCUGUUCACUGAUUGGCCAGACUCGAAGAGGGCCCUUCCGUCCUGGGACCUCGCGUUGUUGACAGUGGGUGUCAAACUGUGAAGACAGGGGACCCCUUCCUAGAGAGGCCCCAGGGAAGUGCUGGACCGUGGCCCUUCCAGUGGGAGAUGGACGUGGCUGCCUUUCCAGAACGGGAGCCGCGCGGUUCCUGGGUGGGGCUCCCCGUUACGCUUUUCUCAUUUGAUCUCCACGGACGGGCGCUGCCUAAAGCGGAGCCUGGGAAAUUUGAAAGGCAGGUGUAAGUGUCCUUGUUCCCUGGUCCAGGUAAGAGGGCUGGUGAGCAGAUGGCAGGGAUUCCAGGCUGGCGAGGGGCUCCUGUCAAUCCUCAGGGGCUUCUCUGUGGACCCCCAGAGGCAGGGCGAUCGGCUGGUGGGGACUCAGGCCGGUUCUGCCCCGCGGUCACUUCUGCUCACCUCUGUCCCAGUGUUGAUAAAAAAGCCAUAUAUACGUUAGCCGUUUGCACUGAGUCUCCUUGCAGACCUUCCGCCUGGGCUCGUGGCUGGAGGCUGGCACCCUGUGCUCGCACCCUGGCCUCCCUCCCUGCAUUCCUCUCUCCAGCAGAGUCCUCAUGCUGGGAGCCCUGUUCCUGGCAUCCGUGGCAGAAGUGUCCAGUCCCGUCACUGGCCACCCCAGAGGCAGAUGGGCCAUCUGGGAGGGGCUCCCACGAGAGGCUGCAGAGUCUGCUUUGCAACAGGCAGGGCUUGUGCUUCUGCUGUUUCUCAGUGGGGGCGAGGGCACCUCCUUUGGGACAUUGCGGGGUGGGGGUGGGGGCUCGGACGGCUGGUGGGGACAGGCUCCUCUUGCGGCGGCCUUGGACGUGGGGUUUUCUCACUGGACUCUGGGUGUUGACUGAAUGAUGAGAAUUCUGGUUCCAAGGACCAGACUUGUAGGACAAGAGGGUGCCUUCAAGACCGGGGUGGCCUGGCCUGGACGCUCCUGUCCCCAACUGUGGGAUCCGGUGCUUUCUCAGGGUCUCCUCACCCUCCGUGCCCCACAGUCUCCUGCUCACUCCCAUCCCUCUGGCCACCUUCUACCACCCGGGGUCUGUCUCGGCCCCCCACCCACCCUGCCCCAGCCCAGCACACCCUCUCCUGCCCGGGAUGGGGGUGGGCAGCACCGUGAGGGUCUGGCUGAGAGACUGGCAUUGGCACCUGUACAGAGCCAGGGGACCUGCAUGUGGGUUCUGGGUGGCACUUGGCAUCUGUUGGCCCAAGGAGCUCCUCUCCCCCAUCAUGCUUGGGCCUGGGGUCUGCGAUCCUGGGCUGUAGGCCCCACAUGGGACAGCGGAUCGGCUUGUGAGGGUUCUGGAGGCCUGCGGGCCGUGAGCCUUCACCCCCAUCCACUGCAGAGGGUAGCAGAGGGCAUUGUUCACAAAGGACUGAGACCAUGAAAACAAACCCAGUCCUACCUGGGAGCUAGAGGUGAGGCAGGAAAGCUCUCGUUUCUCCUUGAGUGGUCGCUGCAGAACGGAACCGACGCUGCCAGGGCUCCCCGCAGUUUUUCAGACUUUGGCCAUAGAUGCUGAGGGCUGGGGGCCACCCUUGGGCGGCCCCAACUGGGGAGGAGUGGGUGCUGGGCGCAGAUGGGAGCAGGGGUUUCACAGCCUCAGUCCUGAUCUGUGCUUGUCCCAGGAAAUCACAGGUAGCUCGUGCUCCUGCAGGAUCAGGUUGGGGUAACCGCUGGCCCAGGGCUUCAGCGAGUGGGGGGGGGAAGCUGUUCCCCUCCCCUGUUCCCUCCCUGCCCUGGGCCCUGGGUGGCAGCAGACAGGGAAGGGUCCCUGGGCCUGGGUGUGGUGGUUGUGGUCCCUCAGCCCCAGAUUGGCAGAUAAAAAUACAGGGCACCAAGUUAAAUUUGAAUUUCAGGUAAACAAUAAUUACAAAGCAUGAGUCUGUCCUGGGCGCUCUUUGGGACAUACUGAAAGCGGUUUGUCGCUUACCUGAAAUUCUCCAUCCCUGCCCUGCCCUGUGACCGCUCCUGCCACCCUCCCCUGCCCCAAGCCCCAGGCCAGGAUUGGGUCAUCCGGACUUUAGCCCAUUUUCCGAGCUGCAGUAUUGGGAAGGGGACACUGUGACUUGACCACACAGAAUAUAUUUUUUAGUGACAACAAAACAAGAACCUUCUGAAGCCAUCUGAUCCCUGUCUGCUCCUCCCCAUGCUUCAGUUUCACACCCAGAGGCAGGUCACCCAGAAACACGUGUGUCCUGUCAAAUCCAGAUGCAUGUCCGACUUGGUGUAAACAGCCGCAUGGCCGUGCCGAGAGCCCCCGCCCCACCUUACACACCUGGAGGCUGCUCCUCGGUUUUAUGUGUCGAGUCUCAUCCCCCCCCAUCCCACCCCUGUGGGCGCUGAGGGACCAGGGACUCCCCGCAGGCCAGAGCCCAGGUGCCCCGCCUGCUGCUCCCGCGCCCGUCUGUGUGCGGUGCCCCUUCUGUCACUGUUUGAAUUAACUGAAAAGCCAUAAUGGGGCCUCCUGCAGGAGCCCUCGGGAGCCCCCGUCCUCUGCCGGCUCCCACAGAACACUUGUGAAGGGCUCACCUGUCGUCGCCCUCUGCCCUCAGCUCCAUGUCUCCAGGUGGAUGGUGUCAGAGCUCCUGGUGGGGCCUCAGCAGAUGGUCCCAUCAGUGGUGGGGCCCUGGGGUGGUGGCCAGCAUGCAGGAGCUGUCAUGGCUUUGUCUGUCUGUCCGUCUGAGGUCAGGUCCCUGCUCCGCUGGGCAUGACAGAAGCAGCCCCGUCUCCGUAACACGUGGGCUGGGGCAGUGGCUGGCAGCAAGCAGGACGGGCUGAGCCCCGUGUGCUGCCUCCUGCAGGGAGGCCCCAGGAGGCCAGGGGGCCUCUGAGGGUGGGGGGCGGCCUCUCCCAGACCCUCUGUCAGCUCCUAGGCCCAGCCUGUACCAGGUGCUGCUAGGGGAGGGGAGGUGUGGACUGUGCCAAGAGGACUUCAGCUCCCGGCCGGCAGGUCCUGGCCCGCGAGAGCAGCUCCUGGCAGGGUGAGGAAGGGGAGGCGGGAGGAGCGGGCUCCAGGCCAGAGGUGGGGAGGUGGGCUUGUGUCCACAAAGCUGGACCCUGGUGCUGGGGGCAGGGCAGAGGCAGAGGAUGGCCGAGGCUAGGGUACGAGGGUGUGGAGGAAGGAUGCUUCCUCAUCCCCUGGGCACCACCCCCCCAGGGGGGGGCAAGAGAUAAGGGCCCUCCAGGUGGCUGGUGGGGGGCCUCCAGGACCCUCUGCACAGAAGCCUGAUGUUCUGCCCGACUCCCCCCACCUGAGGACUUGGUUUACUGCUUCUGAAUUCUGGGAUCUGAAAACUGUGAGACCAGGGUGGCUGGGCCCCAGGCCACCCUGGGGUGUGUGGCCCCACCAGGACCCCUGCCAGGUCUUCACAGGAAGGACACAUGUACAGCCCCCCCACCCCCCGCCUGGCAGCACCCCCCCCCCCAUGUGACUCUGUUCUUGUCUGGUCUCUCGUCAGUCUGUUCUUUUGUAAUGAGCUGCAUCUCCUUAUUAAAGAAACUCAACCCAG
This is a non-coding RNA of Sus scrofa (pig), 6354 nucleotides long. NCBI's taxonomy places the organism in Eukaryota, Metazoa, Chordata, Mammalia, Artiodactyla, Suidae. The record is from RefSeq and is a predicted model, not a curated record.